Non-coding RNA from Carica papaya (papaya), 1464 nucleotides. Lineage: Eukaryota; Viridiplantae; Streptophyta; Magnoliopsida; Brassicales; Caricaceae. The record is from RefSeq and is a predicted model, not a curated record.
UUGUAUACUUUUUAUUUAAAAAGAAAUUUGUUUUGAGUCAUAGGUGGUGAUUGCUGGAGAUUGCUACAAUAUUUUUUGUUGCUUGUCAAGCCAUUUGUCAAAAUUUGGCCAGUUGAUGGUCUUUCAAUGCGCACAUUCCAUUCAUACUUCAGCCACUGAGAAAUGUUAUGUCAGGCUAAGUUUGUAGUGGAUAAUGAAGGAAAAUGCUUUUAAAUGUAUAUUUGCCUGUCUAAAGCAAUCUGGAAGGCACAAGUGGAGAAUAGUGGAUGUAGCUUUGUAUUAGUCUUUGAUGAAAAAGCAAUAGUACCAUGAAAGAUUUGUAUUUCUAAUACCAUUAGGAUAUAUGAGAAUGCCAUUGAUUUAUUAAUAGAAAUUCUUGGCAGUUUUUUCUCCAUUGCAUAUUCAUUUAUUAAUUGAGAAAAAGUGAGGAUAGCUUCAAAGUUGGUACGAAACAGCUGCCAUAGCCGAACAUUUGAAAUGUGUACAAAAAGAUACACAACAAAUAAGUUGGGAAACCCAUCCAUCAUUUUUAUUGCAAUGUUUAGUGGUCUAUUUUCGUUUCUAUUUAUCAAGACACCGAAAAGACCAAUGUUUCAUUUUCUUCUUCCCAUAAUUAUCAUAUGGCUGUACUGAUGCUCGGUUCAUUUAUCAUGCAGUUCAUACAUGUUUAUGCACCCAAGUAUGAAACAGCUGGGAAAUUUUGGCCUAUUGUGCACAAUUCGACGAUAUUCUCUCUGGUACUUAUGCAUGCAAUUGCAGUGGGUAUUUUUACAUUGAAGAAGCUGUCUAUGGCAUCAACCUUAGUUUUUCCUCUUCCCAUCCUCACUCUUCUCUUUAAUGAGUACUGCAGAAAAAGAUUCCUACCCAUAUUUACUGCUUAUCCUGCUGAGGUUUUGGUAAAGAGAGACAAGGAAGAUCAUAAUGAUGUCAAAAUGGCAGAGUUUUAUGAUACCCUGGCCACUGCCUACCAGGAUCCAGCUCUGUUACCAAUUCAGUAUUCUGCAAACAGAGACAGUCUAAGCAGUCCUCUUAUAUCUUCUGCUUGAUUUUAAGGCACAGUGGUCAUCCAAUUCCGAAUCAGUUGAAAUGAGGAAGAAAUAAGCAUGGCACCACCAUCUAGGCCUCCAACGACUGCGGCUUUUUCACAAGCUGAAGAAGGCCUGUGUUGUGGUAGAUUUCAGCAUUUAGAGUCUUCAGAAAGCAGCUAUCAUUCCUAAGUCAAAUAUGUCUAGGCUUGGCAUAUAUAAAUUUCGAUUUUAUUUUUUUUACAUCACUAGAUUGAUGUAGUUUGUAAUUAAUGCAAAGAAAGCUUUUAGUCUGGUUGUAUAGUUGAAGUCCAAGGAAAGAUAAUAGUUGCUCUUUUCUUUUCCUGUCUCUGCUGACCUCCUGAUAUCCUCAGAUACUCUUAAUAAUCUGCGGCACCUACAUGUAUAAUAUAUGCCUAUCCAAUAUCAUUCCAGUACA